Molecule: small RNA, 111 nt
Filed under: Salmonella enterica
Lineage: Bacteria; Pseudomonadati; Pseudomonadota; Gammaproteobacteria; Enterobacterales; Enterobacteriaceae
Also listed under: 1 other name
Description: partial RtT sRNA
Rfam family: RtT RNA
About the family: This family represents a bacterial cis-regulatory element known as RtT RNA. The exact function of RtT is unknown although it is thought that it may be involved in changing the cellular response in relation to amino acid starvation.
Source: RNAcentral
GAUGAGAAGCUUCGACUAAGGUUCGAUUCGAGCGCAGCGAGAAAGCGUUGCCGUAGGCAACGACCCGAAGGGCGAAGCGCGCAGCGCUGAGUAAUCCUUCCCCCGUCAUCC